RNAcentral lists this ribosomal RNA (301 nucleotides) under uncultured bacterium. RNAcentral describes it as "partial 16S ribosomal RNA". It matches the Rfam family "Bacterial small subunit ribosomal RNA", at positions 509 to 807 of the family's 1533-position model. The record is from RNAcentral.
CAGUCGCCACGGGAAUACGGAGGGUGCAAGCGUUAUCCGGAUUUAUUGGGUUUAAAGUGUCCGUAGGCGGAUCUGUAAGUCAGUGGUGAAAUCUCACAGCUUAACUGUGAAACUGCCAUUGAUACUGCAGGUCUUGAGUAAAUUUGAAGUGGCUGGAAUAAGUAGUGUAGCGGUGAAAUGCAUAGAUAUUACUUAGAACACCAAUUGCGAAGGCAGGUCACUAAGAUUUAACUGACGCUGAUGGACGAAAGCGUGGGGAGCGAACAGGAUUAGAUACCCGGGUAGUCCCUGUCUCUUAUAC